UAUUAAAUUUUUUUAUCAAUUUCUACUAUUAAAAAUUGAUGUGGCUGAUAAAAUAACUAGACAGUUACACGUGGUGUGCUACAUGUAUCUCAUUCUAAUGUAUAUAGACAGGUUUUUAACAAUAGACAUGAGUACAAUUUUUAAUA
Molecule: microRNA precursor, 146 nt
Filed under: Gossypium barbadense (sea-island cotton)
Lineage: Eukaryota; Viridiplantae; Streptophyta; Magnoliopsida; Malvales; Malvaceae
Also listed under: 1 other name
Description: MIR7502 microRNA precursor family
Rfam family: MIR7502 microRNA precursor family
Source: Rfam by way of RNAcentral